Molecule: long non-coding RNA, 636 nt
Organism: Leptidea sinapis
Lineage: Eukaryota; Metazoa; Arthropoda; Insecta; Lepidoptera; Pieridae
Exons: 7
Source: RefSeq, a predicted model, not a curated record
GUAUAUGAAUUAUACCGUUUGGAAUUGAAUUGGUUUAUUUACGUUAUCCAUUAUUGCGAUAUGCUUAGUUUAAAAUAUGUUUUUUUCGUCCCAAUUCAGUAUUUUAUGUUCUGUAGCAGUUUCCCCUUUUACAAUGGAUACAAUGUUAAGAAAGUGGGCUUCGAUUUAGGGAAAUUUGUGCAACCUAUUAAAAAAUUGUCAGAUCUUUUUCCGGAUCAAAACGUUGAGGUUCAAUUCGAAGUGGAAGGUCUGAAUCACAAAAUAGUACCAAUGCAAAAGAAAUAUGUACGUCAAAAUAUCAAAAAUACUAUAACAGCUUUAAGGACCCCACCACCGACAAUGCCAUCAAAUUUUCUACCUCAAAAUCAAGCUGCCCCAAAGCUGCCCUUGCAGUAUUCUGCAACAUCCAAUAGCGAUAGGGUUGCCUUAGUAAGUGAUGUGAAAAAGGCGCUUGAAGACUUUCAAGGGAAAUAUUUAAGAGAUAAAAGUGAUCCUGUGGUAUUAGUCUCAGAUGGAUUAAGUACAAAAGACAAUUCACUAAGUGAACUUCUAGCACUAUUGAAAAAAGGCACAGAUAUCAAAAGUGGCGUCGAGAGACCGCAAGCAGACAAUAUGAGUUGGUUCCAAAUAAAAAUU